CUGACAAGGGAGGGGGAGACGGUGGAACUUAUCCAGAGUGCGUGUAGUUGAGGGACACUCUGUCCCCACCUCCAG
RNAcentral lists this microRNA precursor (75 nucleotides) under Ovis aries (sheep). RNAcentral describes it as "miRNA (ENSOARG00000023436.1)". Lineage: Eukaryota; Metazoa; Chordata; Mammalia; Artiodactyla; Bovidae. The record is from RNAcentral.